Molecule: ribosomal RNA, 591 nt
Filed under: uncultured bacterium
Lineage: Bacteria
Description: bacterial SSU rRNA
Rfam family: Bacterial small subunit ribosomal RNA
Source: RNAcentral
CCUACGGGAGGCAGCAGUGGGGAAUCUUGCGCAAUGGGCGAAAGCCUGACGCAGCCAUGCCGCGUGAAUGAUGAAGGUCUUAGGAUUGUAAAAUUCUUUCACCGGGGACGAUAAUGACGGUACCCGGAGAAGAAGCCCCGGCUAACUUCGUGCCAGCAGCCGCGGUAAUACGAAGGGGGCUAGCGUUGCUCGGAAUUACUGGGCGUAAAGGGAGCGUAGGCGGAUAGUUUAGUCAGAGGUGAAAGCCCAGGGCUCAACCUUGGAAUUGCCUUUGAUACUGGCUAUCUUGAGUGUGGGAGAGGUAUGUGGAACUCCGAGUGUAGAGGUGAAAUUCGUAGAUAUUCGGAAGAACACCAGUGGCGAAGGCGACAUACUGGCCCAUUACUGACGCUGAGGCUCGAAAGCGUGGGGAGCAAACAGGAUUAGAUACCCUGGUAGUCCACGCUGUAAACGAUGAGUGCUAGUUGUCGGCAUGCAUGCAUGUCGGUGACGCAACUAACGCAUUAAGCACUCCGCCUGGGGAGUACGGUCGCAAGNUUAAACGUCAAAGGAAUUGACGGCUGNGAGNGCGAGGCGACGACGAGGGAGAGG